GUGAGCGAUGCGCUAACGGCAGCGCGCCAGUCUUCCAAACUGGAUACAGCGGGUUCGAUUCCCGUCGCUCACU
This 73-nucleotide transfer RNA is filed under the name Acidobacteriota bacterium. RNAcentral describes it as "Acidobacteria bacterium (wastewater metagenome) tRNA-Gly". It matches the Rfam family "tRNA". From Rfam's summary of the family: Transfer RNA (tRNA) molecules are approximately 80 nucleotides in length. Their secondary structure includes four short double-helical elements and three loops (D, anti-codon, and T loops). Lineage: Bacteria; Pseudomonadati; Acidobacteriota. The record is from RNAcentral. RNAcentral also lists the same sequence under 1 other name.